This 739-nucleotide ribosomal RNA is filed under the name uncultured bacterium. RNAcentral describes it as "bacterial SSU rRNA". It matches the Rfam family "Bacterial small subunit ribosomal RNA", at positions 8 to 796 of the family's 1533-position model. The record is from RNAcentral.
AGAGUUUGAUCAUGGCUCAGAACGAACGCUGGCGGCAGGCCUAACACAUGCAAGUCGAGCGCCCGCAAGGGAGCGACAGACGGGUGAGUAACGCGUGGGAACGUGCCCUUUGGUUCGGAAUAACCCUGGGAAACUAGGGCUAAUACCGGAUACGCCCUUUUUGGGGAAAGGUUUACUGCCGGAAGAUCGGCCCGCGUCUGAUUAGCUAGUUGGUGGGGUAACGGCCUACCAAGGCGACGAUCAGUAGCUGGUCUGAGAGGAUGAUCAGCCACACUGGGACUGAGACACGGCCCAGACUCCUACGGGAGGCAGCAGUGGGGAAUAUUGGACAAUGGGCGCAAGCCUGAUCCAGCCAUGCCGCGUGAGUGAUGAAGGCCUUAGGGUUGUAAAGCUCUUUUAUCCGGGACGAUAAUGACGGUACCGGAGGAAUAAGCCCCGGCUAACUUCGUGCCAGCAGCCGCGGUAAUACGAAGGGGGCUAGCGUUGCUCGGAAUCACUGGGCGUAAAGGGCGCGUAGGCGGCGUUUUAAGUCGGGGGUGAAAGCCUGUGGCUCAACCACAGAAUGGCCUUCGAUACUGGGACGCUUGAGUAUGGUAGAGGUUGGUGGAACUGCGAGUGUAGAGGUGAAAUUCGUAGAUAUUCGCAAGAACACCGGUGGCGAAGGCGGCCAACUGGACCAUUACUGACGCUGAGGCGCGAAAGCGUGGGGAGCAAACAGGAUUAGAUACCCCGGUAGUCC